RNAcentral lists this long non-coding RNA (451 nucleotides) under Fukomys damarensis (Damara mole-rat). Its description in RNAcentral is "lncRNA (ENSFDAG00000025265.1)". The record is from RNAcentral. Lineage: Eukaryota; Metazoa; Chordata; Mammalia; Rodentia; Bathyergidae.
AAAAUGUCUAUCAGUUUUUCUUUUGUUCUUUCCAGAUCCUGUUCAAGUGUACACUGAGCCAGCAGGUUCACCAGAAAGCUAUUGAGCCCUUGCUGGAGCACAUUAUGCAGGGUGGAUGUCUUCUGGAUUGUUGCCAAGGGUUUUAUGCUUCUGUGAGACUGGAUCUCCUCCAUAACCUCUUGGUGUUGGAGACUCACAGUCCUGCAGCCAGAGAAGAAGAACCAUUGGCUCAAUGGUGAUCACAUGACGUUUGGUGUAAUGUACUACUCAUAUUGUGAUUCACAUCAAAAUAUAAAAACAAUUUCUGGGUUCCUAACAGCAAUUAGCAAAGAAGAGAGAAUGCCACGAAAAUCUGGAACUACUCAUCUAGCCACAGCCAUUGCUUUCCAAAGGGACCUUCAUGGGUGAGCCAUAGAACAGCUGUUCCUGAAUGCACCAUUUCCAUAUUCUC